RNAcentral lists this ribosomal RNA (1139 nucleotides) under Smittium simulii. RNAcentral's name for it is "LSU rRNA". It matches the Rfam family "Eukaryotic large subunit ribosomal RNA", at positions 1 to 971 of the family's 3401-position model. Lineage: Eukaryota; Fungi; Kickxellomycota; Harpellomycetes; Harpellales; Legeriomycetaceae. The record is from RNAcentral.
CUGAACUCAAAUCAGGUAAGAUUACCCGCUGAAUUUAAGCAUAUUAAUAAGCGGAGGAAAAGAAACUAACAGGAUUCCCUUAGUAACGGCGAGUGAAGCGGGAACAGCUCAAGCUUGAAAUCAGCAUUUGGUAAACAUAUGUUUGAGUUGUAGCUUUUGGAAGCAGUUUCAAGCGACUGGUUGCGGUAAAAGUUCUUUUGAAUAAGACAUCAAAGAGGGUGAGAAUCCCGUCCUUGACCGUGAUUUAAGUUGUGAUACGAACUGUUUUCUGCGAGUCGGGUUGUUUGGGAAUGCAGCCCUAAUUGGGAGGUAAAUUUCUUCCAAAGCUAAAUAUCAGUAAGAGACCGAUAGCAAACAAGUACCGUGAGGGAAAGAUGAAAAGCACUUUGAAAAGAGAGUGAAAAGUACGUGAAAUUGUUGAAAGGGAACCGGUUGGUAGCCAAGCAUUUCCUAGCAAUAGGAAGGUCAACAUCGAUUGCUAUUUAACUGCCAGAAAGGAAAUUAUGCAGACUAGCGGAGGAAGGUAGGGAUUCGAGUUUCCAGAUCAUUCGUGGUUUGGUAUUAUGGCUCGAGUUCUGUUAUAGCCUCCAUGGGUUUGCUUUUUACGCCUAGUGGUGGUGGCGAUCGAGGACUGCAGCGCGUUUUCCAUUUAUAAUGGGAUGAUCUAAUUGUUUGAGAGCAUUGUAGUUGUGAUUUGGUAGACAGCAUGCUGACUAUCAUUGGCAAUUAUAUGAUUUUGGGCAUUUGGGAUUAAUAAGCGCUUUGGAUGUUGGCGAAAAGGCACUAAUCGACCCGUCUUGAAACACGGACCAAGGAGUCCAACAUGCAUGCGAGUAUCUGGGAAAAUUAAACCCAUAUGCGCAAUGAAAGUGAACUAGUAGAAACUUUUAUUAGAAUGCAACCGGGAUAGUAUCCUGGGCAGCAUCGACCGACUUUAGAUAGCGUUGCUUGAAAAGGUUGAGUAAGAGCAUGUAUGCUGGGACCCGAAAGAUGGUGAACUAUGCCUGAAUAGGGUGAAGUCAGAGGAAACUCUGAUGGAAGCUCGUAGAGAUUCUGACGUGCAAAUCGAUCUCCAAAUUUGGGUAUAGGGGCGAAAGACUAAUCGAACCAUCUAGUAGCUGGUUCCUGCCGAAGUUUCC